UUGUGUUCUUGUUCUACAUCACUUGGUUUAUUUUUUAAGCUGAACAUAACUAUAUUUUGACUUCAAGAGUCUGUAUUUAUUGGAUUUGAGGUGUUUAUUUGAAAAUUUUCACCUUAUUUUAGUUGUUUUGGUAUAUUUGGUUUAAACUGCUAUACAUUGUUAUAUCUAUAGCAUUGUGAUUUUAUUUGCACAAUUUGGUUGGAUAUAUUCAAAAUAA
Molecule: unclassified non-coding RNA, 217 nt
Filed under: Hevea brasiliensis (rubber tree)
Lineage: Eukaryota; Viridiplantae; Streptophyta; Magnoliopsida; Malpighiales; Euphorbiaceae
Source: RNAcentral